This 497-nucleotide ribosomal RNA is filed under the name uncultured bacterium. Its description in RNAcentral is "partial 16S ribosomal RNA". It matches the Rfam family "Bacterial small subunit ribosomal RNA", at positions 28 to 507 of the family's 1533-position model. The record is from RNAcentral.
GAUGAACGCUGGCGGCGUGCCUAAUACAUGCCAGUCGAGCGAACAGACGAGGAGCUUGCUCCUCUGACGUUAGCGGCGGACGGGUGAGUAACACGUGGAUAACCUACCUAUAAGACUGGGAUAACUUCGGGAAACCGGAGCUAAUACCGGAGAAUAUAUUGAACCGCAUGGUUCAAUAGUGAAAGACGGUUUUGCUGUCACUUAUAGAUGGAUCCGCGCCGCAUUAGCUAGUUGGUAAGGUAACGGCUUACCAAGGCAACGAUGCGUAGCCGACCUGAGAGGGUGAUCGGCCACACUGGAACUGAGACACGGUCCAGACUCCUACGGGAGGCAGCAGUAGGGAAUCUUCCGCAAUGGGCGAAAGCCUGACGGAGCAACGCCGCGUGAGUGAUGAAGGUCUUCGGAUCGUAAAACUCUGUUAUUAGGGAAGAACAAAUGUGUAAGUAACUAUGCACGUCUUGACGGUACCUAAUCAGAAAGCCACGGCUAACUACGUG